RNAcentral lists this ribosomal RNA (520 nucleotides) under uncultured Glomus. RNAcentral describes it as "SSU rRNA". It matches the Rfam family "Eukaryotic small subunit ribosomal RNA", at positions 569 to 1092 of the family's 1831-position model. Lineage: Eukaryota; Fungi; Glomeromycota; Glomeromycetes; Glomerales; Glomeraceae. The record is from RNAcentral.
AGCAGCCGCGGUAAUUCCAGCUCCAAUAGCGUAUAUUAAAGUUGUUGCAGUUAAAAAGCUCGUAGUUGAAUUUCGGGAUCAAUACGUCGGUCGUGCUUCGGUACGUACUGGCGUCAUUGAUUUCUCCUUUCUGACGAACCAUGAUGUCAUUAAUUUGGUGUUAUGGGGAGUUAGGACUGUUACUUUGAAAAAAUUAGAGUGUUUAAAGCAGGCUAACGCUUGAAUACAUUAGCAUGGAAUAAUGAAAUAGGACGAUCGAUCCUAUUUUGUUGGUUUCUAGGAUUGACGUAAUGAUUAAUAGGGAUAGUUGGGGGCAUUAGUAUUCAAUUGUCAGAGGUGAAAUUCUUGGAUUUAUUGAAGACUAACUACUGCGAAAGCAUUUGCCAAGGAUGUUUUCAUUAAUCAAGAACGGAAGUUAGGGGAUCGAAGACGAUCAGAUACCGUCGUAGUCUUAACCAUAAACUAUGCCGACUAGGGAUCGGAUGAUGUUAAUUUUUAAUGACUCAUUCGGCGCCUUACG